UCUGCACUCAUGAAUCACAUCUUGUAAAUGACAGAACACUUUACAACAUACAAUAUACUAUUGCUCCACCAUGUCGUCAAUAAUUCUAAAUCGAGAAAUUUUAUUUUGGCCAGGAGCUGAAGUUGGUUGUUUAGUAGUAGUAGUUUGAGUAGUGACCGAAGUAGUAGUCUGGUGUGUGGGUGCAGCUGAAGUUUCAGAAGUGUCAGGUGUGGUAAUUGGGGCAGCUGUGGUCUCUUGUGGAGCUGGGGAAGACGGUGGAGCUGGUGUAGUUGCAGAAGGUGUGGGUGGGGCAGCUGUGGUCUCUGGUGGAGCUGAGGAAGAUGGUGGAGCUUGUGUAGUUGCAGAAGGUGUGGGUGGGGCAGCUGUGGUGUCUUGUGGAGCUGGGGAAUUCACUGGUGCUAAUGUAGCUACAGAAGAGCUUGUGUUAACAUUUUCUCUUGAAGAUAUGGUGGUGGCAUUCUGGGGAAGAAAAGUCACAUUUGGAAGGGUAGUAAUUUUGGUGGAAGCUUAGGCCUACAGCGUUUGUGCAGACAUUUAUAGGACUUUCUAAUGAACGGCUUCUGGUGAGCUAGCAG
RNAcentral lists this long non-coding RNA (575 nucleotides) under Homo sapiens (human). Its description in RNAcentral is "HSALNT0320133". Lineage: Eukaryota; Metazoa; Chordata; Mammalia; Primates; Hominidae. The record is from RNAcentral.